UUCGGGAUGCCGGCGAGUGGCGAACGGGUGAGUAAUACGUGGAGACCUGCCCUGAGGUGGGGGAUAACAGCUAGAAAUGGCUGCUAAUACCGCAUACGCCUUACGAGGGAAAGAUUUAUUGCCUCAGGAGGGUUCCGCGUCGGAUUAGCUUGUUGGUGGGGUAACGGCCUACCAAGGCGAUGAUCCGUAGCUGGUCUUAGAGGAUGAUCAGCCACACUGGGACUGAGACACGGCCCAGACUCCUACGGGAGGCAGCAGUGGGGAAUAUUGCGCAAUGGAGGCAACUCUGACGCAGCGAUGCCGCGUGGGUGAAUAAGGCCUUAGGGUUGUAAAGCCCUUUCAGUGGGAAAGAUGAUGACGGUACCCACAGAAGAAGCCCCGGCUAACUCCGUGCCAGCAGCCGCGGUAAUACGGAGGGGGCGAGCGUUGUUCGGAAUUAUUGGGCGUAAAGAGCGCGUAGGCGGUUUAUUAAG
RNAcentral lists this ribosomal RNA (473 nucleotides) under uncultured Magnetococcus sp. RNAcentral describes it as "bacterial SSU rRNA". It matches the Rfam family "Bacterial small subunit ribosomal RNA", at positions 79 to 587 of the family's 1533-position model. Lineage: Bacteria; Pseudomonadati; Pseudomonadota; Magnetococcia; Magnetococcales; Magnetococcaceae. The record is from RNAcentral.